RNAcentral lists this ribosomal RNA (461 nucleotides) under uncultured bacterium. RNAcentral's name for it is "partial 16S ribosomal RNA". It matches the Rfam family "Bacterial small subunit ribosomal RNA", at positions 28 to 523 of the family's 1533-position model. The record is from RNAcentral.
GAUGAACGCUGGCGGCGUGCCUAAUACAUGCAAGUCGAGCGGCAAGGCUCCUUCGGGAGUACACGAGCGGCGGACGGGUGAGUAAUACGUAGGAACGUACCCCAAAGCGAGGAAUAACCAGCCGAAAGGUUGGCUAAUACCGCAUAUGCUCUACGGAGUAAAGCAGCAAUGCGCUUUGGGAACGGCCUGCGUCCGAUUAGCUAGUUGGUAAGGUAAAGGCUUACCAAGGCGACGAUCGGUAGCUGUUCUGAGAGGAUGAUCAGCCACACUGGAACUGAGACACGGUCCAGACUCCGACGGGAGGCAGCAGUAGGGAAUUUUCCACAAUGGGCGAAAGCCUGAUGGAGCAACGCCGCGUGCAGGAUGAAGGCCUUAGGGUUGUAAACUGCUUUUAUCUGUGACGAUUAUGACAGUAGCAGAUGAAUAAGGAUCGGCUAACUCCGUGCCAGCAGCCGCGGUAA